This 61-nucleotide transfer RNA is filed under the name Ixodes ovatus. RNAcentral's name for it is "tRNA-Cys". Lineage: Eukaryota; Metazoa; Arthropoda; Arachnida; Ixodida; Ixodidae. The record is from RNAcentral.
AAUCUUAUAUUUUAUUUUAAAAUAUUAAAUUGCAAGUUUAGAGAAGAAAAUUCUAAGAUUU